This 1606-nucleotide long non-coding RNA is filed under the name Nicotiana tabacum (common tobacco). RNAcentral describes it as "long non-coding RNA (NTAB_LNC006393)". The record is from RNAcentral. Lineage: Eukaryota; Viridiplantae; Streptophyta; Magnoliopsida; Solanales; Solanaceae.
UCCGACCCAACUUUGUAUCGCAACCUUGCAGGAGCAUUGCAGUACAUCUCGAUUACUCGACCAGAUGUAUCCUUCUCUGUUAACAAGCUUUGCCAAUUUAUGCAAUCUCUUAUCCUUGCUCAUUUUCAAGCUUUGAAACGAGUGUUAUGUUAUUUAAAGGGUACAGUUUCCUAUGGGCUACAUCUCCAGCGCUCCUCUAAGCUAACUAUUUAUGUUUUUUCUUAUGCGGAUUAAGCUGAUUGUCUAGAUGAUAGGAGGUCUAUACAUGGAUAUUGCAUCUUUCUUGGUCCUAAUUUGUUUUUUUGGUGCUCAAAGAAGUAAAAGGUUGUUGCUCGUUCUAACACCGAAUCUGAGUAUAGAGGCUUAGUUGUUGCCACUGCUGAAAUUACUUGGAUUCAGCACCUUCUCCAGGAAUUGUUUAUACUCUUGCCUACCGCUUCAAAGCUUUGGUGUGAUAAUUUAUCCGCUAUAUAUCUCACUGCUAAUCCCGUGUUUCAUGCUCGCACGAAGCAUGUUGAGCUGGACUUUCACUUUGUUAGAGAGAAGGUUGCUUCGAAGGAUCUUGAAGUUGGUUACAUCAGUUCCUUAGAUCAAAUAGUUGAUACUUUGACAAAGAGUUUAUCAGCUUGCCGCUUUAUAUUUCUUCGAGACAAGCUUGUUGUGAUUGAUCCCAAGCUGCACUUGAAGGGGUAUGUUAGGAUAGCUACGCCUAAGGGAUAAAAAUAUUUACCUUAACUAAAAAUCCUUAUCCUAAGGGAUAGACAUAGUAGAUGAUAUCCCAUGUAAAGUCUCUCUCCCUUUAGGAUUAUUGUAUUGAGUAGUAUUUAAACAUCACUGUAUUAUACACAUAGAUGAAGAAAUAAAUAGCUAAUUCCUAUAAUACUUUCAAUACCCAGUAUAUUCCCAACAUGUGAGAUUAAAUAUUUGCACAAAACUAAAACAAAUGCAUUUGGAUAAGAGGUUCCCGAUAAGUUUUAAUUUUUUAAAAACAUUUCUGAAAACAAAUGUAAAAUAUUUUUGAAAAACUUUAACCAAAUAAGUUGUUCGAGAAUUUGUCUAAGAGCUUUUUACAUGCACCCAAAUUCGGUACAAAAAUAUCCAUAAUAAACGGAGGGGAAUCAAAAUCAAGGCAAAAUAUCUCUAAAAUUUCCAUUUCACGUCCGCUUAGACCACUUCUAGCUAGGUUGAUUCGUCAAACCACACACGCCCCUUUAUCUGUCCUCUAGCCUCUUUUAAAAACAUUUUAAGCUUUAUCCAUCUAUAUCUACAAAUUCACUAAUCCAACUAAUUCUAAAUUUUGCAUUUAGGGCCCACUUAGAAACCAUUAUUAGUAAUUUCUCCUUUAUCAAAGUUCAAAUUCGAAUUUCAUAUAUCCCACUACACGUUUUAUAUGGUGUUCCCUUUUUCAAACAAAAAUAUAGUAAUUCCACGUAACUCGCUUUAACCCAUCUGUCCCCUUGGAUAUAUACUUCCCUAGGCUAAACGUAUUAAGCAUUGUCACACAAACAAUAGAAAGCCUAACUGAUGGAUCAGCUAAAGCCAAGACCACCAAAUUCAAGUCCUCUUACUCCUCUUACCUUCUUAGAAAGAGCUGCCACCAUCUAUG